Molecule: ribosomal RNA, 477 nt
Filed under: uncultured bacterium
Lineage: Bacteria
Description: partial 16S ribosomal RNA
Rfam family: Bacterial small subunit ribosomal RNA
Source: RNAcentral
GAUGAACGCUGGCGGCGUGCCUAACACAUGCGAGUCGAACGAAGCACCUUACCUGAUUCUUCGGAUGAAAGUUUGGUGACUGAGUGGCGGACGGGUGAGUAACGCGUGGGUAACCUGCCCUGUACAGGGGGAUAACAGCUGGAAACGGCUGCUAAUACCGCAUAAGCGCACGAGGAGACAUCUCCUUGUGUGAAAAACUCCGGUGGUACAGGAUGGGCCCGCGUCUGAUUAGCUGGUUGGCAGGGUAACGGCCUACCAAGGCAACGAUCAGUAGCCGGUCUGAGAGGAUGAACGGCCACAUUGGAACUGAGACACGGUCCAAACUCCUACGGGAGGCAGCAGUGGGGAAUAUUGCACAAUGGGGGAAACCCUGAUGCAGCAACGCCGCGUGAGUGAAGAAGUAUUUCGGUAUGUAAAGCUCUAUCAGCAGGGAAGAUAAUGACGGUACCUGACUAAGAAGCGCCGGCUAAAUACGUG